GCCUGGCUAGCUCAGUUGGUAGAGCAUGUGACCCUUGAUCUUGGGGUUGUGAGUUCAAGCCCCAUGUUGGGUA
RNAcentral lists this transfer RNA (73 nucleotides) under Ailuropoda melanoleuca (giant panda). It matches the Rfam family "tRNA". Rfam says of the family: Transfer RNA (tRNA) molecules are approximately 80 nucleotides in length. Their secondary structure includes four short double-helical elements and three loops (D, anti-codon, and T loops). The record is from Rfam by way of RNAcentral. Lineage: Eukaryota; Metazoa; Chordata; Mammalia; Carnivora; Ursidae.